Molecule: ribosomal RNA, 326 nt
Filed under: uncultured eukaryote
Lineage: Eukaryota
Description: partial 18S ribosomal RNA
Rfam family: Eukaryotic small subunit ribosomal RNA
Source: RNAcentral
CCCUUAGAUGUCCUGGGCCGCACGCGCGCUACACUGAAGGGAUCAGCGUGUUUUCCCUUUCCGAGAGGAACGGGUAACCCGCUGAACCCCCUUCGUGGUAGGGAUCGGAGCUUGCAAUUGUUCUCCGUGAACCAGGAAUUCCCAGUAAGCGCAAGUCAUAAGCUUGCGUUGAUUACGUCCCUGCCCUUUGUACACACCGCCCGUCGCUACUACCGAUUGAACGUUUUAGUGAGGUAUUUGGACUGGGCCUUGGGAGGUUUCGGCCUCCCUUGUUGCUCGGAAAGACUCCCAAACUUGAGCGUUUAGAGGAAGUAAAAGUCGUAACA